UACGUAGGGGGCAAGCGUUGUCCGGAAUCAUGGGGCGUAAAGCGCGUGUAGGCGGCUCGAUAAGUCUGCUGUGAAAGUUCAGGGCUCAACCCUGAAAUGCCGGUGGAAACUGUCGAGCUAGAGUCCGGAAGAGGCGAGUGGAAUUCCUGGUGUAGCGGUGAAAUGCGCAGAUAUCAGGAGGAACACCAAUGGCGAAGGCAGCUCGCUGGGACGGUACUGACGCUGAGACGCGAAAGCGUGGGGAGCAAACAGG
RNAcentral lists this ribosomal RNA (253 nucleotides) under uncultured bacterium. RNAcentral describes it as "partial 16S ribosomal RNA". It matches the Rfam family "Bacterial small subunit ribosomal RNA", at positions 524 to 776 of the family's 1533-position model. The record is from RNAcentral.